ACUUAAAGGACACACACACACGCACACACACACACACACACACAGAUAUCCUGAUCAUCACAGCCCUGAUUACAAUUAUAUCAACAAAAGCACAUUUCUUGAGUGGUUGCUAGGGGUGGUUGCUAGGGUGUUGUUUGGCAGUUGCAAUGGUGUUCCAUGUGGUUGCUAGGCAGUUGCUAUGAUACAUUAUGUGGUGGUUAGGGUGUUGCAAUGUGUUAUGGUAUUUCAGGUGGUUGCUUGGGGGUUGAGUAAGUGAGAUAAGGGGCCUAGGGGAUAAGUGUGCACCGGCAUUGUGUCCCUGUGUGGGGGGAAAAUUCCAACUUGGAAAUGGCUGCUAGUGGGAAAUGGUGCGACCCAUCAAAAAGGCCUUCAUCUGUAUUACUCCUGACUUUUUCUCGUGAGACAAGACUCUUCCCCACCUACAAGUAUAUUAUGAUUGAUCGUCCACCUACGCUCUGAGGCCUGCCGCACUAAUCAAAUACAUGUAUGGUUUGCGCCUUGCUUAUCUGUGUGUUGUGUCUUAGUCCCUUUCCAGAACCUUCACACUAACUGUUCCUCAGUGGUGGAACGCACUUCCAAUCUCAAUCUGGACCGCAGAAUCUCUCACCAUCUUCAAAAAAGAGCUAAAGACCCACCUCUUCCAUGAACACCUAACCAACUCAUAAUUAUAUAUAAAAAUAAAUAAAUAAAAAAUUGCACUUACACCUCUACUCUGCACUUUGCUUCUUCUGGAAUUCAAUUAAUGGAUCUUGUAUGGUAGCACUACUUGUAUUGUUCUCUGCUUGAUAUAUCGCUUUGCUUGUAUUUUCUCAUUUGUAAGUCGCUUUGGAUAAAAGCGUCUGCUAAGUGAAUAAAUGUAAUGUAAAUGAAUGCCACAUAUAUCUGAUAAAUUACAGUUUUUCAAGGGAAAAAGGACCGAUUGACACAUAUUCACUCGCAAUCCUGAUAUAUCUGAAAAAUAUUUAAUACAAUUGACAGCUUUAUGAACUUCAUGUUCAUCUUUCAAAAACACUGUUGUGUCAUCUGCAAACUGACACAACUUAAACUUUUCCCCCAAAGCUGUAAUACCUUUAACAUAUCCUUUCUUUAAAUGAAUAGCCAUUAGGGGUUGCUAACAAAAAUAAAAGGGGAGAAAUCAGACAACCUUGUUUAAUCCCUCUGCCAAUUUCAAAUCUCUUAGAUGUUCCCUGUUUCUAUUGUUAAUUUGCAAAAAUACCUCCUGCAUUUUUAUUUGAACAAUAUGUAGAGCUACAGCAACAGAAUCAAUUAACUUAGAACUCUUUACACUGCCCAUGAAACGGCUAAAUAACAUUUUGCUUUAAUGGGUGUGCAACAGCAACAUAAGGUGAUGCUUUAUACUACAUGGGUGUGUUCGUUUAUUCCAGAUGAAUACAGGUUAUAGGCUUACGUUAGGUACUAGCAUGAAGUACUCUGCCAGCCUUUUGUUGCUGCCAUCAAAGUCAAAAUGACCUUAUUUCUUAAAAUGGUGCAUUUACAUCAGUUUAAACAUCUGAUAUGUUUUCUAUGUUCUGUCGUGAAUAAAAUGCAGGUUUAUAAG
Ictalurus furcatus (blue catfish) is the source of this 1558-nucleotide long non-coding RNA. RefSeq lists it as uncharacterized. The transcript is spliced from 4 exons. The record is from RefSeq and is a predicted model, not a curated record. Lineage: Eukaryota; Metazoa; Chordata; Actinopteri; Siluriformes; Ictaluridae.